Non-coding RNA from Peromyscus maniculatus bairdii (prairie deer mouse), 4351 nucleotides. The record is from RefSeq and is a predicted model, not a curated record. NCBI's taxonomy places the organism in Eukaryota, Metazoa, Chordata, Mammalia, Rodentia, Cricetidae.
UCCUCCUCCGGGGCUGGCGGCUCGGGGCGGCCCGGGCUCCUGGCUACGCGUCCCCGCCGGUUCCGGGAGCCCGCGCGUCUCAGGGUGACUCGCUCAGCCCCACCGCUCAGAGCGGAACCCUUCCCACUGCCACCCUGUGCGUGACUGUGCUCCACUUCUGCCCCAUGGCUUCCAGAACGUGUGAGGAGGAAGGCGCUUCGAUGUCCGAAGCUGACGGGCGCAGGGCGCUGGCAGAUCUCUGAACACGCAGGUGUGGAAGAAGGCGGAGUGACGCGGAAAACCCGUUAAGCCUGUCCCCAGCGUCCCGCGUCCUCCUUUCCCUUCUCUUUGCUCUUCCCUAGCUUUUCCCGCUUUUCCCCCUUUCCCAUUACGAGCCAGAUGUGUCGAGCCUGGUGUGCCGUACAAGUCUAGGGAACUUCAAAGGAGACCCUCUUGCCCAAAAUCCUCAUUUUGCAAAAGUGGAAACCGAAGCCCUGUGCCCCAGCGCUGUCCGUGCCCGAGUUUUUUUUUUUUUUUUUUUUUUUUUUUGCACCCGCCUUUGCCUCACAACAUUUCCCCUUGUCUGAUCACUCCUGGGAUCGCCUGGGCCGCAUGCCGCCUAACCCGCUUCCAUCUAAGACUGGUUUGGGCUCUUCACACUUUUCACUUUGUGUCUUCAGGACCAUUCUGUCUAAGUUCCAUCACUGAGCUUGGCUAUCAGCGAAAACCAUUGCUGACUCCAAGCGAAAUGCUGUGUUUUCCUCCUGGUGGGUAGGGCGGCAUCCCGAUUUGGGAUCCCGGUGCGUAGGAAAUGCACACCGGGCCAGGGUUCCUGAGGAAGGUAAACACAGGGUGGCCUCCAAGACACGGUUACAUCUUUGUGUCUCUGUUCAAUUCUAGUAGCUGUCAGAAGUGCAGGCGCCAGGGGUCACCCAAGUAACCCCAAGAUCAGGAUUGCCCCCAAAUGCUCCGAUGCUGUGCAGAAGGGGCAGAAUGCCUGUAGCCUCAGAUGUGGAUGUCAAGUAAAGCCCCGUUGUGGGGCAGUGCAGGAUACUCAGAGCAAAUACAUCUUUCUAAGCCCAGGUACACUUUUUUAGAGCAGAGUCGAAGUUUAAACAUAUCACUUUCUGCCCGAGCCACUGUCUGCCAGGUUACCUCUCAAACCUCUCAAACCUCUCACCCGUCAGUGCUUAGAGCCCCAAAGGAUUAAGUGAUGUCCAAUUUAUAUCGAGAGCCAGAAUUAAAACUCAGGUCCCCUGUGUCACUUCAUAUAUCCCAGUGCACUACCUCAGAAAAUUCUCAGGACAGAGAAGUCAGUGACGUGUAGGCCAGGCCACAGCCAUUUUAAGUCCUCCCUCAACACAGGAGGAAAGGCAAGAUAAUGUAAUUUUUGUUUAAUGGUGGCUGCCACGUCAGUUAUAAUCAAGCUCAUGAAGCAGGAUGAAGAGAGGUUUGAAGUCUUGAUGACCCUGUCUGUCAUGAGACUUUGAAAAGGAAGCAAGAAUCUGAGGCUGUAGCUCACGGCAGAGUGAUUAGUUAACACGCCCAAGGCCCUAGGGUCCACCUCCAGCAUCAUGCACACAAAUCUAGCGUGUCAAUUUGAAGUAAGGCAUGGAUUAUAAAGGAGAGAUGACUGCAGAAAACCUUCAUGCUUACUGCUCCAACAUGAAGGGUCGGAGGACAAACUUGAAGUCAUCCUUCCUACUUUCCCUUCAAAUAUGUUUUCCAGUUAUUAUAUAAUGCAAGAUUUCCGUGCUUUUGUGUCUGGUCAUUGGGUUACAUAACAGACCAUACCUCACUGAGUUAGGCCAGUUUUUCCGCUUUGCUGUCAUCCUUCUGGAUUGCACAACUGAGAGAGUUGGGUAACAUAUUCAACAAUAAAUCAGGUAUUAUGAAAAAAGAUAUCAAAGGUGGGGGGAUGAUGGAUGUCAUCUGAGGUCCCUAGAUUCAAAGGUAACCUUUGGGGUUUCUGAAUGAUGUCCCUUUCUGAUCAUCGAUGGGUGUGAAAGGAGCAGGCCAGCCCUCUCCCCCUGGCCGGGAGUGGGGGGGGUGGGGGCAAGGAAAUGUUUUUUUCUAUUGGUGGGUUCUGAGACUUUUCCGUCUCUCACAGCCCCCCCACCUCCCCGUUUGCUUUUGUGACUAGCUGGCUCAGUGUGGAGAUUGGGAUUUAGACUUUGUCAUAUGCAUUGGCAUAUCCACCCCAAACCAGCUGUUGGGAACAAAUCACCACAGCUGUUCACAACCAGCUCUCAGCCCUCCCCUGUCCCUUGAGCAAGGUGGUUAUUCUGUGAGUAAAUGGUGUCAGGACCCAAACAGAAAGUGUUUCAGAGAAUCAACGGGAGCAAGGGACCCAGGAGGUGGGAGAGCUGGCACUGGUCUGGCCUUGCUGGCUGGCUUGGCCAGAGCUUGACCUAGCUAGGGCUGAAAUCCUGCCUGUUAUACUUGCUACCUGGGCACAAUUCUGCAGUUAGAGACUCAGUUGCAGCAGCUGCCAUGGCUGCUGUUCAUUGAGUAAUUACUGCCCCCUACAUUUUUAAAAUACCUCCAGGGAACAAGAUAAAAUACCAAGGCCCCCUUUACAGAACUGGAGUCUGUAUUCUGUCACUGUGUGAGAGUGUGCAUAGAAUCUGAAACUCUUACAGAACUGAGGUCACGUCCUCUUGUGCUCAUCGGGAGGUUGGAAGGACAGAGUUCUCCCAGUUCCAGGACACUGCAGAAGUAUGUGUACAGGUUGUAGGGAGUAGAGGUCACUACUGGCCACACACAAAACGUCCCAGUCAAAGCUGAACCCUGUAGCCUCCCGGAUGAACCGUGGCUGCUUUUCCUCAAAGCCUGGUGGGAAGGAACAUCUGUGUGGAUCGCUUCUGGGCAGAUGCCUCACAUCCUGUCGAGGUUAUGAAUCUGUUUUGUACAAACCGACUGAUUGUUUGAGUUCUUCAAAAUCGAGGCUUCUGAGUCAUUGAAGGUGGCUCUGCCCCUACCCCUCCUGAAGUGGUUGCUGACAUUGGUAUAAAUGGAACUGUCGAGAUUGGGCGUGUUCUCUCUGGCCUUGGAGCUGGGUCCUGCAGAGGGAGAGCAGGCUCGGAUGAUCUUGGCCCUUCCCAAAUGAGAUUAUGGGCAGUCCCCAAAAGCUUCAACAACUCACUCCUGAGCCCUGGGCGGGUCUCUGCUCACUCCCAAGCUCUUCUGAAUACCCCUUUAGGUGUGAAUUUGAAGAUCUGAUUUGACUAUCAGCCCCAAAAUGCUCAGGUCUGUUGUGGGGUUUUAGUCUUCAUCAUAUCCCUUUGUCAUAUGGUAAGCAGAACAGGAUCUACCUUACCUCUGGAGACAGAACACUCAAGGUCUUUCUAGCUGAAAAGGUUCAGAGAAAGCUCACAGUGUUUGUCAAUGUGGAAACUGGUUGGAGUACAUUGAUGGUCUCAUGGCCACAGUCAGGGAUGAACAAACAGCAUCUGGGUUUGCCCAUGUGCUUUUGGAAUAGGCUGCACUUCAUCACACAUUCAAUCUUUGGAAUAAACUGUCACCAUUUUAGUGUUAGUUGAAGUAUAUACAGCAACACACUGGGCUAGGAUAGAGCUCAGAGGCGGAGUGUUUGCCUGGCAUACAUGAGGCUGUCUGUGGGUUCAGUCACCAGCACCAAAAUAAUCAUAAUUUUAUUGAUAGAGAAAGAUGUUUGCUGGGCUGGCUUCCUGUCACUGUGCUAGCUGUGGUCCACCUGUGCCAGCCAGACUGUGGGUGGCUGCUUUAGGAGGGACUCACAUUUGGAAACCAAGCAUCUUCUAGUCAGUCAUCUCUCUUUGAGAGUUGAAAGUUAGGAUGUGGGUCUGGAGUGAUGACUCCACAGUUAAGAGCACAUACUGCUCUUGAGGAUCUGAGUUCAAUUCCCAACAACUCCAGCUCCAGGGGAUCAAAUGCUUCUGCUUCCGAGGGCACUUGCACUAGCAUGGGCAUACUCCCCCCACACGUACACACACACAUACACUAAAAGGGGAAUUAAAAUAUACCCCUGGCGGGGCCUCGUGAGGAAUAGAUGAGUUAAUCCCUGAAAAACAGUGGUGUUUAACACAUACAAAGUACUUAAAGAAAGUUAUUAUGUAUCGAUAUAUGAUAUCAACAUAUGAUAUCGAAAGUUAUUAUGUAUCGACAUAUGAUUACCUAACAAACCAAUCCAUACACAUGCAUAUCUGGGCUUGUUUUUGUUUCUGUGUGUUCUAAUCACCACAGUGAGAUUCUUGGUAGCUAGAUAGAUCAUGUCCAUGGAGCUUUGGCCAGGAAUUGGCUUCUUCUGAUCGACUGUCUCUGCAUCCUCUGUCCCUUCCCCACCUCUCUGUUUUGUCUGCUGCAGGUGCCCUGAGCUCAGUGCUCAUUGUAG